Molecule: ribosomal RNA, 254 nt
Filed under: uncultured bacterium
Lineage: Bacteria
Description: partial 16S ribosomal RNA
Rfam family: Bacterial small subunit ribosomal RNA
Source: RNAcentral
UACGUAGUGGGCGAGCGUUGUCCGGAUUUAUUGGGCGUAAAGAGCUCGUAGGCGGCUUGGCAAGUCGGGUGUGAAACCUCCAGGCUCAACCUGGAGACGCCACUCGAUACUGCUAUGGCUAGAGUCCGGUAGGGGACCACGGAAUUCCUGGUGUAGCGGUGAAAUGCGCAGAUAUCAGGAGGAACACCCGUGGCGAAAGCGGCUCUCUGGAACGGUACUGACGCUGAGACGCGAAAGCGUGGGGAGCGAACAGG